RNAcentral lists this ribosomal RNA (254 nucleotides) under uncultured bacterium. RNAcentral describes it as "partial 16S ribosomal RNA". It matches the Rfam family "Bacterial small subunit ribosomal RNA", at positions 524 to 776 of the family's 1533-position model. The record is from RNAcentral.
UACGUAGGGUGCGAGCGUUGUCCGGAUUUAUUGGGCGUAAAGAGCUCGUAGGCGGUUUGGCAAGUCGGGUGUGAAAACUCCGGGCUCAACUCGGAGACGCCACUCGAUACUGCUAUGACUCGAGUCCGGUAGGGGAGUGCGGAAUUCCUGGUGUAGCGGUGAAAUGCGCAGAUAUCAGGAGGAACACCGGUGGCGAAGGCGGCACUCUGGGCCGGAACUGACGCUGAGGAGCGAAAGCGUGGGGAGCGAACAGG